This 468-nucleotide ribosomal RNA is filed under the name uncultured bacterium. RNAcentral describes it as "partial 16S ribosomal RNA". It matches the Rfam family "Bacterial small subunit ribosomal RNA", at positions 28 to 507 of the family's 1533-position model. The record is from RNAcentral.
GAUGAACGCUGGCGGCGUGCUUAACACAUGCAAGUCGAACGGUGAAGGCGGAGCUUGCUCUGCUGGAUCAUUGGCGAACGGGUGAGUAACACGUGAGCAAUCCGCCCCUGACUCUGUGAGAAGCGCUGGAAACGGCGUCGAAUACUGGAUACGAGCUGCUAAGGCAUCUUCAUCAGCUGUAAAGAAUUUCGGUCAUGGCUGGGCUCGCUGCCUAUCAGCUUGUUGGUGAGGUAAUUGCUCACCAAGGCGUCGACGGCUAGCCGGCAUGAGAGGGUGACCGGCCACACUGGGACUAAGAGACGGACCAGACUCCAACGGGAGGCAGCAGGGGGGAAUAUUGCACAAUGGGGGAAAGCGUGAGGCAGAAACGCCGCGUGAGGGAAGACGGCUUUCGGGUUGUAAACCACUUUUAGCAGGAAAGAAGCGAAAGUGACGGUACCUGCAGAAAAAGCGCCGGCUAACUACGUG